This is a long non-coding RNA of Sphaeramia orbicularis (orbiculate cardinalfish), 415 nucleotides long. RefSeq lists it as uncharacterized. NCBI's taxonomy places the organism in Eukaryota, Metazoa, Chordata, Actinopteri, Kurtiformes, Apogonidae. The record is from RefSeq and is a predicted model, not a curated record. The transcript has 2 exons.
ACCUUAGUCCCAUCUGUCCACAAAAUGUUCUCCCAGAGGGACUGAGGCUUGCUCAGAUACAUUUUUGCAAACUCCAAUCUGUUUUUUUGUCUCUCUGUAUUAGCCACAGUUCCAUGGGUUUUAAACUUCUUGAUUAUAUUAUGGACAGUGGACAAAGGGACUUCAAUAUCUCUGGAAAUGGUCUUGUAAUUUAGAUUGUUCAUAUUUCUCCGCAAUUUUGCUUCUUAAGUCCUCAGACAACUUUCUUUCUUUCUUGCUCCUCUCCAUGCUUGAUGUGACAUACGCAGGCUCACAACACAAAGGUUGAGUCUGCUUUUUUACAUUCUAACCUGCUUCAGGUUUGAUGUCUAUAUUGCAAACACCUGCGGCUUGCCACAAGGGAGUUUAAACAAGCAUCACAUGCUUGAAAUAAAAU